Molecule: ribosomal RNA, 482 nt
Filed under: uncultured bacterium
Lineage: Bacteria
Description: partial 16S ribosomal RNA
Rfam family: Bacterial small subunit ribosomal RNA
Source: RNAcentral
AUUGAACGCUGGCGGCAUGCCUUACACAUGCAAGUCGAACGGUAACGGGCCUUCGGGUGCCGACGAGUGGCGAACGGGUGAGUAAUACAUCGGAACGUGCCCGAUCGUGGGGGAUAACGAGGCGAAAGCUUUGCUAAUACCGCAUACGAUUUACGGAUGAAAGCAGGGGACCGCAAGGCCUUGCGCGGACGGAGCGGCCGAUGGCAGAUUAGGUAGUUGGUGGGAUAAAAGCUUACCAAGCCGACGAUCUGUAGCUGGUCUGAGAGGAUGAUCAGCCACACUGGGACUGAGACACGGCCCAGACUCCUACGGGAGGCAGCAGUGGGGAAUUUUGGACAAUGGGCGCAAGCCUGAUCCAGCCAUGCCGCGUGCAGGAUGAAGGCCUUCGGGUUGUAAACUGCUUUUGUACGGAACGAAAAGCCUUCUUUUAAUACAGGAGGGUCAUGACGGUACCGUAAGAAUAAGCACCGGCUAACUACGUG